AGCAGAGAAGAGAAAAUACAGUUAAAAGGUGUUUACAAGCCAAGUCAACCCUGUGAUUUGCUACUUGUGUUCAUUUUUUGCUUGAGAGGCACACACCUAUAGCAGACUUUAAGUCGGCAUUCCACAGCCAUGAAGAAAUUUCUUGUUUGUAAACCAGAGAGGAAGAAUUAUAAGCCAGACACUUACAUCACCUGACAGAUGUGUUUCUCAAUCACGUAAGUUUAUUUAAGGCUUCCCCCGACCUCUCUCUCUCUCUCUCUUUUUUUUCUUUAACAUGAAUUGGAAUGGGCUAGAAAAGUGAGGAGAAAGUAGAAAAUAAAAGGAGGAAACACAUGCAUUUUUUUCUUUUUAAAGUAAUUAAUUGACUCUGCUUUCCUAGCUGCACUGUCAGAACUACCAAGUCCUCCUCUGUGUCUGGAAGUAAAUAUAUUUUCCUUACACUUGUCCGAAACGCUAUAGCUACUGGUAGAACGGUAACACAUAAUAACAUGGUAGUGACACAUAAAGCUGUCAGUCUUAAAGGGAAAUGGAUGCCAAAGCUGAGGGGGUAAACAGACUAAAUCAAUUUGAACAUGCAUGUUAAGGUCUGUGAAAGGGCAGAGUUUAGUGCUGCUAGGCUGAAAAGCAUUUGUCUCUGUCUCGUUGUAUUUCCCUACCAUGCAGCGGAAUACACCCACAGGCCUCUUGCUUGGCUCCAGUCAGGCUCCGUGGCUGAUUAAUGACAGCUGGAGGUGUCCAGUAAUUUCCUCACCUAAUAAUAAACUACAGUCCAAAAAAGAGUGGUUCCCUCAGGCCCGCCUUUAACAGAACUGUACUCGCCACCAGUAGAAAGCCAAUUACCAUGUCUGAGAUAAGGCACAUUUAAGCAGCUUUCCAGGGCCAUUUAGUUGGCUUUGGGCACCUCGCCUUUGUCUACCUUUGGACAAGCUAGGUUCAGAUAAUGUCUGGGUCAGUUAUAUAAUGACCUAGUGUUCCAAAAAUAUCUUUGUCAUCCCUGCAGGACAGAACCUAAAUUGGAGGACUGUCUCGUCUAAGCACAGAUCAAACGGCCUACGAGCAGCCACACCAACGUAAAAAAAACACACCAAUGGCCUCCGCUCCCUUAUUCUUUUUCCCAGGGUCACCAACUUACACAACGAUGACUACUGUUUCUGGGGCUUAAGCAAUCAGUCUGCCUCACAACAUCCUACCCGAAGGGGCCCACUAAAACAUUUUAUAGGAGAAUUUAUUCUCCGCAAGAACUUUUCCAGAUUCUGUCAGCAAUGAAAGAUGUGUGUGUAUAAAAUAUGAAGUUAAUAAAGGUUGC
Podarcis lilfordi (Lilford's wall lizard) is the source of this 1306-nucleotide non-coding RNA. The record is from the annotation of a GenBank genome assembly. NCBI's taxonomy places the organism in Eukaryota, Metazoa, Chordata, Lepidosauria, Squamata, Lacertidae.